RNAcentral lists this unclassified non-coding RNA (222 nucleotides) under Hevea brasiliensis (rubber tree). The record is from RNAcentral. Lineage: Eukaryota; Viridiplantae; Streptophyta; Magnoliopsida; Malpighiales; Euphorbiaceae.
AGCUUCGCGUCGUCGGCCGUCAGCGUGCUGAAGCUGUUCUUCAGAAGCUGCAUGCGGGCAUUGACGCUGUUGGCGACGGCGGCGUCGGGACGCAGGACGUAGUUGCUGAUGUUGGACGUGAUGGACGCCGAGUGGGUCGCCAGUUCCUUCGCGUUCUGCUGGAUCGACGUCAGACCGGCGAGAAUUGCGGUAUCCGCCAGAUCGUCAAACUUGUAGCGGAUC